GUGUCAGCAGCCGCGGUAAUACGAGAGGCCCAAACGUUAUUCGGAAUCACUGGGCUUAAAGAGUUCGUAGGCGGUCUAGAAAGUUGGGUGUGAAAGCCCUCGGCUCAACCGAGGAACUGCGCUCAAAACUACUAGACUUGAGGGAGAUAGAGGUGAGCGGAACUGAUGGUGGAGCGGUGAAAUGCGUUGAUAUCAUCAGGAACACCGGAGGCGAAGGCGGCUCACUGGGUCUCUACUGACGCUGAGGAACGAAAGCUAGGGGAGCAAACGGGAUUAGAUACCCCCGUAGUCC
This 292-nucleotide ribosomal RNA is filed under the name uncultured bacterium. RNAcentral's name for it is "partial 16S ribosomal RNA". It matches the Rfam family "Bacterial small subunit ribosomal RNA", at positions 505 to 796 of the family's 1533-position model. The record is from RNAcentral.